RNAcentral lists this ribosomal RNA (497 nucleotides) under Neochauliodes sp. 1 YT-2021. RNAcentral describes it as "partial large subunit ribosomal RNA". Lineage: Eukaryota; Metazoa; Arthropoda; Insecta; Megaloptera; Corydalidae. The record is from RNAcentral.
AACAUGUCUUUUUGAUAAUAAUUUAAAGUCUAACCUGCCCACUGAUAAUUUUUGAAGGGCCGCGGUAUAUUGACUGUGCAAAGGUAGCAUAAUCAUUAGUCUUUUAAUUGAAGGCUUGUAUGAAUGGUUGGAUGAGGUAUUAACUGUCUCAAUUUAAUAAAUAAUAGAAUUUUAUUUUUAAGUUAAAAAGCUUAAAUAAUUUUAAAAGACGAGAAGACCCUAUAGAUCUUUAUAUUAAGAUUUUUAAUAAUUUUUUGGUUAAAAUUUAUUUUUAUAAGUUAAAAUAUUGAGUUGGGGUGAUUUAAAAAUUUAAUAAACUUUUUUUUUGUUUUAACAGUAAUUUUUGAAUAAUUGAUCCAUUUUUUGUGAUUAUAAGAUUAAGUUACCUUAGGGAUAACAGCGUAAUUUUUUUGGAGAGUUCUUAUCGAUAAGAGAGAUUGCGACCUCGAUGUUGAAUUAAAGGUUAAUUUUAGGUGUAGAAGUUUAAAAUUUUGGUC